CUACUGGGGUAUCUAAUCCUGUUCGCUCCCCACGCUUUCGCUCCUCAGCGUCAGUAACGGCCCAGAGACCCGCCUUCGCCACCGGUGUUCUUCCUGAUAUCUGCGCAUUCCACCGCUACACCAGGAGUUCCAGUCUCCCCUACCGCACUCAAGUCAGCCCGUACCCACCGCACGCCCCCAGUUAAGCCAGAGGAUUUCACGGCAGACGCGACCAACCGCCUACAAGCCCUUUACGCCCAAUAAUUCCGGACAACGCUCGCGCCCUACGUAUUACCGCGGCUGCUGGCAC
This 289-nucleotide ribosomal RNA is filed under the name uncultured Actinomyces sp. RNAcentral's name for it is "partial 16S ribosomal RNA". The record is from RNAcentral. Lineage: Bacteria; Bacillati; Actinomycetota; Actinomycetes; Actinomycetales; Actinomycetaceae.